Molecule: long non-coding RNA, 482 nt
Filed under: Rattus norvegicus (Norway rat)
Lineage: Eukaryota; Metazoa; Chordata; Mammalia; Rodentia; Muridae
Description: long non-coding RNA NONRATT017952
Source: RNAcentral
GCAGAAGCCCAGGCCCGUCCCACCGAGAAGCACAGGAAGGAGAUACAGAGAUUAGAACCUACCCACGAAGAAAGCAAUUUGGAAUCAGCUAGCAAUUCUGCAACAAGAUGCGUAUCUGAGGACAGGAGAGAUUCUGAUGAGUCAGAUGUGGAUUUGGGCUCUGCAGUGAGGCAGCUCCAAGAGUUCAUUCCUGACAUACAGGAAAGGGCGGCCACCACAAUCAGACGCAUGUAUCGAGAUGACCUAGGGCGCUUCAAAGAGUUUAAGGCACAAGGUAAGCUUUCCAGUGUGCUGCUUUUGAGUGACUGGAAUUAAUGGAGAAGCAUCCUUUAAAAAGAUGUUAAAGCUGGGCAGUGGUGGAGCACACCUUUAAUCCCAGCAUUGCAGAGGCAGAGGCAGGUAGAUCUCUAUAAAUUUGAGGCUAGCCUGGUCUACCAAUUGAGUCCAGGACAGUCAAGGCAAUACAGAGAUACCCUGUCUUU